This 328-nucleotide long non-coding RNA is filed under the name Elaeis guineensis (African oil palm). RNAcentral's name for it is "long non-coding RNA (EGUI_LNC037574)". The record is from RNAcentral. Lineage: Eukaryota; Viridiplantae; Streptophyta; Magnoliopsida; Arecales; Arecaceae.
UACUAUCUUAUGUUUAUCCUAUCCUAUCUCAUCUCCAUGCCUAGAUUAAAAUCUCUCCACUUUUGUGGGACAAAGGGUGAGGCUUUUACCGUAGAAAUUGGUUUCUGAGAGAAAGGGGGUGUGAAACAGAGAGGGGACGGGCUACUGUGCGAUAGAAAGAGGAAAACUAUUUUCUCUUUGGGCGUAUGUUCUAGGAUGGGGUUCUGGGGUUUCGACUCUAUUUUUUAUGAGAAAAAAAAUCAAGAGAGUCUUGUUUUAUACUUCCUACACCACCACCUCUUCCUAUUAUUUCAUCUUCUGAUCUGGAAGAGUCCAGAUGAUCCAAAGG